CCCUUAGAUGUUCUGGGCCGCACGCGCGCUACACUGACGAAUGCAACGAGCUUAUAACCUUGGCCGAAAGGUCUGGGUAAUCUCCAAAUUUCGUCGUGAUGGGGAUAGAUUAUUGCAAUUAUUAAUCUUCAACGAGGAAUGCCUAGUAAGCGCAAGUCAUCAGCUUGCGUUGAUUACGUCCCUGCCCUUUGUACACACCGCCCGUCGCUCCUACCGAUUGAAUGGUCCGGUGAAGCCUCGGGAUUGUGGCUGGUUUCCUUUAUUGGAGGUCGGUUGCGAGAACUUGUCUAAACCUUAUCAUUUAGAGGAAGGUGAAGUCGUAACA
This 325-nucleotide ribosomal RNA is filed under the name uncultured eukaryote. Its description in RNAcentral is "partial 18S ribosomal RNA". It matches the Rfam family "Eukaryotic small subunit ribosomal RNA", at positions 1470 to 1796 of the family's 1831-position model. The record is from RNAcentral.